GGGUGCGAUCAUACCAACAUUAAUGCACCGGAUCCCAUCAGAACUCCGCAGUUAAGCAUGCUUGGGCUUUGAAGCCCUCCCC
Non-coding RNA from Picea glauca (white spruce), 82 nucleotides. The record is from Rfam. NCBI's taxonomy places the organism in Eukaryota, Viridiplantae, Streptophyta, Pinopsida, Pinales, Pinaceae.